UACUGCGUAGUCGGAUUGCCG
This 21-nucleotide microRNA is filed under the name Marchantia polymorpha subsp. ruderalis. The record is from RNAcentral. Lineage: Eukaryota; Viridiplantae; Streptophyta; Marchantiopsida; Marchantiales; Marchantiaceae.